UACGUAGGGGGCAAGCGUUGUCCGGAAUCAUUGGGCGUAAAGCGCGUGUAGGCGGUUCGAUAAGUCGGCUGUGAAAGUCCAGGGCUCAACCCUGGGAUGCCGGUCGAAACUGUCGGACUAGAGUUCGGAAGAGGCGAGUGGAAUUCCCGGUGUAGCGGUGAAAUGCGCAGAUAUCGGGAGGAACACCAAUGGCGAAGGCAGCUCGCUGGGACGUUACUGACGCUGAGACGCGAAAGCGUGGGGAGCAAACAGG
This 253-nucleotide ribosomal RNA is filed under the name uncultured bacterium. Its description in RNAcentral is "partial 16S ribosomal RNA". It matches the Rfam family "Bacterial small subunit ribosomal RNA", at positions 524 to 776 of the family's 1533-position model. The record is from RNAcentral.